CAUUUUGGUGCCCUAGGCACAGUG
Molecule: ribosomal RNA, 24 nt
Filed under: Klebsormidium flaccidum
Lineage: Eukaryota; Viridiplantae; Streptophyta; Klebsormidiophyceae; Klebsormidiales; Klebsormidiaceae
Source: RNAcentral